This 510-nucleotide ribosomal RNA is filed under the name uncultured bacterium. RNAcentral describes it as "partial 16S ribosomal RNA". It matches the Rfam family "Bacterial small subunit ribosomal RNA", at positions 28 to 507 of the family's 1533-position model. The record is from RNAcentral.
GACGAACGCUGGCGGCGUGCUUAACACAUGCAAGUCGAACGAAGAGCGAUGGAUGCUUGCUUCUAUCAAUCUUAGUGGCGAACGGGUGAGUAACGCGUAAUCAACCUGCCCUUCAGAGGGGGACAACAGUCGGAAACGACUGCUAAUACCGCAUACGAUCUAACCUCGGCAUCGAGGAUAGAUGAAAGGUGGACUCUACAUGUAAGCUAUCAUUGAAGGAGGGGAUUGCGACUGACUAGCUAGUUGGAGGGGUAACGGCCCACCAAGGCGAUGAUCAGUAGCCAGUCUGAGAGGAUGAACGGCCACAUUGGGACUGAGACACGGCCCAGACUCCUACGGGAGGCAGCAGUGGGGAAGCGUCCGCAAUGGACGAAAGUCUGACGGAUCAACGCCGCGUGAGUGAUGACGGCCUUCGGGUUGUAAAGCUCUGUUAAUCGGGACGAAAGGCCUUCUUGCGAAUAGUGAGAAGGAUUGACGGUACCGGAAGAGAAAGCCACGGCUAACUACGUG